AUACGGAGGAUCCGAGCGUUAUCCGGAUUUAUUGGGUUUAAAGGGUGCGUAGGUGGUUUGAUAAGUCAGCGGUGAAAGUUUGCAGCUUAACUGUAAAAAUGCCGUUGAAACUGUCGGACUUGAGUGUAAAUGAGGUAGGCGGAAUGCGCGGUGUAGCGGUGAAAUGCAUAGAUAUCACGCAGAACUCCGAUUGCGAAGGCAACUUACUAAGCUACAACUGACACUGAAACACGAAAGCGUGGGGAUCAAACAGGAUUAGAUACCCUGGUAGUCCACGCAGUAAACGAUGAUUACUAGCUGUUUGCGAUACACAGUAAGCGGCACAGCGAAAGCGUUAAGUAAUCCACCUGGGGAGUACGCCGGCAACGGUGAAACUCAAAUGAAUUGACGGGG
This 393-nucleotide ribosomal RNA is filed under the name uncultured bacterium. Its description in RNAcentral is "partial 16S ribosomal RNA". It matches the Rfam family "Bacterial small subunit ribosomal RNA", at positions 523 to 918 of the family's 1533-position model. The record is from RNAcentral.